GUGGCAGUUCUGAGACCAAAGUUCUCUAUUUAUCCCCAGAAAAAGUACAGUGCAAACAGCAGCAGUGCAAACUUCCCCACACAUCCUCAAUCAGUUAAGAUCUUAAGGGGCCCCAGGGCAAAAGGAGGGUUCAGUAUCUGCAACUCAUUCAGUCUUCCUCUCCU
RNAcentral lists this small RNA (164 nucleotides) under Gopherus agassizii (Agassiz's desert tortoise). RNAcentral's name for it is "TUC338 (ENSGAGG00000020471.1)". Lineage: Eukaryota; Metazoa; Chordata; Testudines; Testudinidae. The record is from RNAcentral.